UACGGGGAGAGCAAGCGUUGUUCGGAUUUACUGGGCGUAAAGGGCGCGUAGGCGGCCACCGCAAGUCAGUUGUGAAAUCUCUGGGCUUAACCCAGAAAGGUCAACUGAUACUGCGGGGCUAGAGUGCAGAAGGGGCAACUGGAAUUCUCGGUGUAGCGGUGAAAUGCGUAGAUAUCGAGAGGAACACCUGCGGCGAAGGCGGGUUGCUGGGCUGACACUGACGCUGAGGCGCGAAAGCUAGGGGAGCGAACGGG
This 254-nucleotide ribosomal RNA is filed under the name uncultured bacterium. Its description in RNAcentral is "partial 16S ribosomal RNA". It matches the Rfam family "Bacterial small subunit ribosomal RNA", at positions 524 to 776 of the family's 1533-position model. The record is from RNAcentral.